This 252-nucleotide ribosomal RNA is filed under the name uncultured bacterium. Its description in RNAcentral is "partial 16S ribosomal RNA". It matches the Rfam family "Bacterial small subunit ribosomal RNA", at positions 524 to 776 of the family's 1533-position model. The record is from RNAcentral.
UACGAAGGGGGCUAGCGUUGCUCGGAAUCACUGGGCGUAAAGCGCACGUAGGCGGCUUUUUAAGUCAGGGGUGAAAUCCUGGAGCUCAACUCCAGAACUGCCUUUGAUACUGGGAAGCUCGAGUCCGGGAGAGGUGAGUGGAACUCCGAGUGUAGAGGUGAAAUUCGUAGAUAUUCGGAAGAACACCAGUGGCGAAGGCGGCUCACUGGCCCGGUACUGACGCUGAGGUGCGAAAGCGUGGGAGCAAACAGG